Molecule: ribosomal RNA, 204 nt
Filed under: uncultured bacterium
Lineage: Bacteria
Description: partial 16S ribosomal RNA
Rfam family: Bacterial small subunit ribosomal RNA
Source: RNAcentral
GACGUAGGAGGCGAGCGUUGUCCGGAGUUACUGGGCGUAAAGCGCGCGCAGGCGGUCACGCAGGUCAUCUGUGAAAGCACUCGGCUCAACCGGGAUGUUGCGGGUGAAACCGCGUGACUUGAGGGUGGGAGAGGUCGGUGGAAUUCCCGGUGUAGUGGUGAAAUGCGUAGAGAUCGGGAGGAACGACCCGUAGCCGAAGGCGGC